CUGGCUCAGAUUGAACGCUGGCGGCAUGCUUUACACAUGCAAGUCGAACGGUAACAGGGGCUUCGGCCCGCUGACGAGUGGCGAACGGGUGAG
Molecule: ribosomal RNA, 93 nt
Filed under: Pseudogulbenkiania subflava DSM 22618
Lineage: Bacteria; Pseudomonadati; Pseudomonadota; Betaproteobacteria; Neisseriales; Chromobacteriaceae
Description: 16S rRNA. Bacterial SSU
Rfam family: Bacterial small subunit ribosomal RNA
Source: RNAcentral